UUGUUUCUUUCUUUCUUUCUUUGUUUUCGCACAUUUAUUUAGAUUGUAUAACUCUAUUCUUUCCUGUAUGUAUAUUUUUCAUUUACUUAGAUUUAGAAAUUGCAACUAUAUAAGGCGUUUUGAAAAUAGCAACCGACGGCGUCACUGUCCAAUCAGAGCACUGUUCGUGUAGCUUACCUUCCAGCCAAUCACAGAUCUGCCAGAAAGGAAAUUGAAGCCUCGAGAUCAAUUUGGAGCCCACUGUCUGAAUGUUAUUGGUUUUCUGGCUCCCACUAAAGGCAGUGACUCAGCCCAACCAAUAAAGACCUGUCCCAGAUUGCAUGAGCUAUGAAGAAUUCCAGGAAAGUGAAUUGGGGCCUUGUGGCUAUCCGAGCCUCCCUUUGGGAGCAACUGUAAGUCAGCAUGGGAGAGAGAGAGAGAGAGAGAGAGGCUGAGAGCUACCACAGGGGAUGAGAAGGUGACUGCAGAGAUCAUAUUGAUACCACUCAGAUGCUCCUCGCUCACUCAGGCUUUUACGCCAAUACAAUUGUGGCCAGCGUGGGAUCAGAUUUUGUUCCAAGCAUUUAGCAGCGCAAUUGAUUAGGUUUAUAAAAAGUGUGUGUUAGCAAAGCCCUAGUCGGGAAGUGUUGCAUAGUGCAGGUCCAUUUUCGGUAGCACAGUGGUGCCAAUGGAAAAAUCGACUUUGGAUCUCAGGAAUACCGCAAGACCUCAUAGAGUAACACUUAACAAUCUGAAGUCAGACUCAAGUGCUUUGACUCAGACUCAGCUAGUCCUUUAACUCUAAAUGUUAUUUUUUUCCUAUACAAAUGUCAGUUUGACUUUCUUUUUGGAUCUACAUGUUAAUGUAUAGGUCUCAGAUUAUACACAGGACUCAGGAGUGUCCGACAGGAAGUGCUAAUCUUGUGCACUAAGAGUUGAUUGCCACUAGAUGGCAAGCUCUUUAUUCUGUGCUAAGC
Pangasianodon hypophthalmus (striped catfish) is the source of this 956-nucleotide long non-coding RNA. RefSeq lists it as uncharacterized. Lineage: Eukaryota; Metazoa; Chordata; Actinopteri; Siluriformes; Pangasiidae. The transcript has 3 exons. The record is from RefSeq and is a predicted model, not a curated record.